CGCCUCUUGACAAAAUAUAAGAGGUCCAGCCUGCCCAGUGAUAAAUUUAACGGCCGCGGUAUCCUAACCGUGCGAAGGUAGCAUAAUCAUUUGUUCUUUAAAUGGGGACUUGUAUCAACGGCACCACGAGGGCCAUACUGUCUCCUUUCUCUAGUCAGUGAAACUGAUCUCCCCGUGAAGAAGCGGGGAUUUAACUAUUAGACGAGAAGACCCCAUGGAGCUUAAAACUCACUAUAUAAUUCUGUACCUCAUAUCACCUUAAUUCAGAAUCCUAUAUGCUAGUUUUAGGUUGGGGGGACCUCGGAGUAUAAUUUAACCUCCAUAACAAAUGGGCUAAUACCCUUAUCCAAGAUAAACACCUCUAAGAAUUAUUAAAUUAAUGUUUAAUGACCCGAUAUAUUCGAUCAAUGAACCAAGUUACCCUGGGGAUAACAGCGCAAUCUACUUCAAGAGUCCAUAUCGACAAGUAGGUUUACGACCUCGAUGUUGGAUCAGGGUAUCCUAGUGGUGCAACCGCUACUAAUGGUUC
RNAcentral lists this ribosomal RNA (529 nucleotides) under Lithobates palmipes (Amazon River frog). Its description in RNAcentral is "partial 16S ribosomal RNA". It matches the Rfam family "Bacterial large subunit ribosomal RNA", at positions 1829 to 2574 of the family's 2925-position model. The record is from RNAcentral. Lineage: Eukaryota; Metazoa; Chordata; Amphibia; Anura; Ranidae.